CUUUGCACUCAUCGAGGAGGGGUGAGAACCUUCGAUUAAGGUUCGACUCGAGCGAAAGCGAGAGAACGUUGCCGCAGGCAACGGCCCGAAGGAUGAGGAGCGAAGCGACGAAUAAUCCUUCCCCCACCACCA
RNAcentral lists this small RNA (132 nucleotides) under Escherichia coli. Its description in RNAcentral is "RtT sRNA". It matches the Rfam family "RtT RNA". Rfam says of the family: This family represents a bacterial cis-regulatory element known as RtT RNA. The exact function of RtT is unknown although it is thought that it may be involved in changing the cellular response in relation to amino acid starvation. Lineage: Bacteria; Pseudomonadati; Pseudomonadota; Gammaproteobacteria; Enterobacterales; Enterobacteriaceae. The record is from RNAcentral. RNAcentral also lists the same sequence under 1 other name.